RNAcentral lists this ribosomal RNA (178 nucleotides) under uncultured Bacillota bacterium. Its description in RNAcentral is "uncultured Firmicutes bacterium partial 16S ribosomal RNA". It matches the Rfam family "Bacterial small subunit ribosomal RNA", at positions 333 to 529 of the family's 1533-position model. The record is from RNAcentral. Lineage: Bacteria; Bacillati; Bacillota.
AGACUCCUACGGGAGGCAGCAGUGGGGAAUAUGCGCAAUGGGGGAAACCCUGACGCAGCGACGCCGCGUGGAGGAAGAAGGCCUUUGGGUUGUAAACUCCUUUGAUCGGGGACGAAGAUGACGGUACCCGAAGAACAAGCCACGGCUAAGUACGUGCCAGCAGCCGCGGUAAUACGUA